Molecule: unclassified non-coding RNA, 109 nt
Organism: Prolemur simus (greater bamboo lemur)
Lineage: Eukaryota; Metazoa; Chordata; Mammalia; Primates; Lemuridae
Rfam family: Y RNA
About the family: Y RNAs are components of the Ro ribonucleoprotein particle (Ro RNP), in association with Ro60 and La proteins. The Y RNAs and Ro60 and La proteins are well conserved, but the function of the Ro RNP is not known.
Source: Ensembl
GGCUGAUCUGAAGGCAGUGAGUUAUCUCAAUUGUUCACAAUCAGUUACAGAUCAAACUCCUUGUUCUACUCUUUUCCCCCUUCUCACUACUGCAUUUGACUCAUCUUUA